Long non-coding RNA from Gossypium raimondii (Peruvian cotton), 942 nucleotides. RefSeq lists it as uncharacterized. The transcript has 2 exons. Lineage: Eukaryota; Viridiplantae; Streptophyta; Magnoliopsida; Malvales; Malvaceae. The record is from RefSeq and is a predicted model, not a curated record.
CCAACUGGGAAAUAUUCCCAACCCUCAAUCACGGUGUUUCAGGUUGUACCAAAAUGAAACUAUUAGUAAAUUCAAUGGCCAAAAUAUAAAAACAGUAAAGACCCAAUUGCUACAGCUCGAAAGGGGAGGGGGCCUGCACGCAAAUAACCCCCUUUAUGCAAACGCGCGGAUCCCCCUGGAGCGGGUCGGAUCACGCGCGGGUCAAGGGGGGGUCAAACGGCGCCGUUUCAAAAUGAUGAUUUAAACCAAAAUAUUUUUAUUCUGCUUCAUUUUUCAUUUCAACAAAACAUAAAAAAACUCUUCUCUCCCUCCCUCAAAGUUCCCAGUAGCCAGACAUGGCCCACGCCGGCGAGCGGCCAUUCCGAUGGCCGAGGCUCUGUCACGGGCGGUGGUCGGAGCGAGAAAAAGAGGGGUUUUUAACCCCGUUCUCGACCUCCACCUUAAGGCCCGGUCCUUCAGACCAAACAAGCCAAAAAAGGAGGGACCUUUCCUACCCUUUUCGGUCCGAAUCCAACACCGGAAAGGGUUUCCGGCGACGGGUUUCUGAAACCGGUACUUGAAGACGGACUACAGAGGCAGAGAGUAGGGGGCAGAUGGGACGUGAUGAACGGCGGUGGUAGGUGGCGGCGCCAGAAGGCCGAAGGUCUGAAUACCCUAGGCGUGGCACUGUAGCGCUAGGGUUUGACUUGUUUGGUUUGAUAUUUUGGGCCAUUAGGGUUUGGAUAUUGGGCCUCGGGUUGUUGGGCUUUUGGGUAGUUUGGUUUCAAUGCUGGGUUAGGGCUUUAUUGGGCUUAGGGAUUUUUGCUUUUAAAUCUGUUUAUGUUUUGUGUUUGGUGUUUAAGGCCCGGGUAAAAUUGGGCCCGUACAAACAGUAAUUUGAAUCGGAACUGCUGGUGGCAAUAUGGCCUAAAAUAGUAUUUUGCACACCACCAAUUGUGACUA